CAAAAGAAGAAGGGGGUGGGGUGUGGGGGGGUGAGGAGAAUAUAUUAGUAUUUACCAAUAAUAAGUUGCAUUGGAUAUAGAAAACAACCAAAAUACACAAACGCGCGUGCACACUUAAAGCUAUGCACACAUAAAAAAAGUCCUGUACAUGCAUCAUACCAAGCAAAACUCCCAUCAAUUCAUGAACAGAGAGAGAGAGAGAGAG
This 205-nucleotide unclassified non-coding RNA is filed under the name Hevea brasiliensis (rubber tree). Lineage: Eukaryota; Viridiplantae; Streptophyta; Magnoliopsida; Malpighiales; Euphorbiaceae. The record is from RNAcentral.